GACGAACGCUGGCGGCGUGCUUAACACAUGCAAGUCGAACGGAAAGGCCCUGCUUUUGUGGGGUGCUCGAGUGGCGAACGGGUGAGUAACACGUGAGUAACCUGCCCUUGACUUUGGGAUAACUUCAGGAAACUGGGGCUAAUACCGGAUAGGAGCUCCUGCUGCAUGGUGGGGGUUGGAAAGUUUCGGCGGUUGGGGAUGGACUCGCGGCUUAUCAGCUUGUUGGUGGGGUAGUGGCUUACCAAGGCUUUGACGGGUAGCCGGCCUGAGAGGGUGACCGGCCACAAUGGGACUGAGAUACGGACCAGACUGCUACGGGAGGCAGCAGUGGGGAAUAUUGCACAAUGGGCGGAAGCCUGAUGCAGCAACGCCGCGUGCGGGAUGACGGCCUUCGGGUUGUAAACCGAUUUCGCCUGUGACGAAGCGUGAGUGACGGUAAUGGGUAAAGAAGCACCGGCUAACUACGUG
This 468-nucleotide ribosomal RNA is filed under the name uncultured bacterium. Its description in RNAcentral is "partial 16S ribosomal RNA". It matches the Rfam family "Bacterial small subunit ribosomal RNA", at positions 28 to 507 of the family's 1533-position model. The record is from RNAcentral.